Molecule: non-coding RNA, 650 nt
Organism: Drosophila melanogaster (fruit fly)
Lineage: Eukaryota; Metazoa; Arthropoda; Insecta; Diptera; Drosophilidae
Source: Ensembl
AUUUUUGAUUUUUUGGUCAAAUUUCGAACGGAAAUAGGAACUAAUUACUCAAAAUUUAAAUCUUUUCUUCGAGUGCACUUACCCAUUGUAGAUUAUCAACGCCACACUGCCGUCUGGUCGCUGGAAGCCAACAACACUCAGCUGGGUGAAGGGAUUGCUCUGGUUCUCGAUCCGCGUCUCGAUGCGCACGGAGUCCGGCGGCAGAAACUUGGAGAAGUGGCCUAUGGCAUAGAAAAUCGGCUUUCUUAACGUAGUUCGGACCGCCCUGUUCGUCCAGCACGAGAUUCCAAUCCAGCCAGCCGUUGAAGUUGUGCGUCAGAUCCUGGGUAUAGGCCCUCAUAUAGCUUUCACCACGCUGCCAGCUGCCCAGCUCGGGACCAUGGGUCUGCCAUGGCUUAUCACCGAUGCAGGACUCCGUGUUCAAUAGCAGCUUAUUGGGCAUAUCCGUAUGUGCCUGGUCGAUGAGUUGUGGUCCUAUCAGUUCAUCCCAGUACCAGUGAACAGCUAGGCCAUCCAAGUAGUUCAGCGAAUUGUUGCGGGAGGAGCGCAUCUGUGUACCGCUGAUCGUCGUUGCCAAAGAUGAGCACCUUGCUCUCCGCCGAGUUUCUGAUGGUCGGGCCCAGAUUGUCGUUCAGCCAGAUAGCCUGGUC